CAGUAGCCGCGGUAAUACAGAGGGUGCAAGCGUUAAUCGGAAUUACUGGGCGUAAAGCGUGCGCAGGCGGUGUUGUAAGACUGAUGUGAAAUCCCCGGGCUCAACCUGGGAACUGCAUUGGUGACUGCAACGCUGGAGUGCGGCAGAGGGGGAUGGAAUUCCGCGUGUAGCAGUGAAAUGCGUAGAUAUGCGAAGGAACACCGAUGGCGAAGGCAAUCCCCUGGGCCUGCACUGACACUGAGGCACGAAAGCGUGGGGAGCAAACAGGAUUAGAGACCCCCGUAGUCCCUGUCUCUUAUAA
Molecule: ribosomal RNA, 301 nt
Filed under: uncultured bacterium
Lineage: Bacteria
Description: partial 16S ribosomal RNA
Rfam family: Bacterial small subunit ribosomal RNA
Source: RNAcentral